UACUCACACCUAUUAAUCGGGGUCCUUCCCUU
Molecule: non-coding RNA, 32 nt
Filed under: Homo sapiens (human)
Lineage: Eukaryota; Metazoa; Chordata; Mammalia; Primates; Hominidae
Source: RNAcentral